GUCAGAACGCCGCCAGGCCAUUGCAUCAGUUUCGAGGCAGCAAUGUUUUUAUUUCCUGAACAAGUGAGAUAGAGAUGAAUGCGCAGAAUUUUGUCGUAGCAAAUGUGUGCGCAUUUCAUUCGAAAUUUUGAAGGGUAUUUUGGAGUUGAAUGUGAUGUGAGAGGCUCCUGGCCGGGAAUUUCACAGCCCCAUGCUGUGGAUUUCCAGUGACCUUGCAACCUCGAAGCCACGAGGACUCAAGGCAGCAGUACCACUACCAUUCACAGCCUCUCCACAGCGUCGAAUCCACUCCAUUCCAACCACGAGGAGCAAUCACAAAACAGGCCGAAACGCAGUGAAACUUCUCUGCUUUCAAAACACGCUCUAGAAACCAAAACGCAAGAGAAAAUACAAAUGUGGGUUCAUGAGAAAUUAAGAUCUGAAGUCAUUGCUGGUAGCAUGAUCUCAUUGCUCCAAGUAUGAUCCAUUGUAUGCAUUCGUACAGGUUCUCAGCAGCAGUGAAACGUUGAGAUGGAUGCCGGUAGCUAUUGGAUUGAAUACAAUAGCAACCGAUGAUCUUAAGGGAUUGUUGUUAUUUGGGAAAAUAUCAUACAUACCCCUCAAAUAUGUUGAAAUAACAAGAAUACCCCUACAUUCUUGAUAAUAGUAAAUGUGUCCCUCAAAGUUUUGAUAAUAGCAAAAAUACCCUUGGUUUGAUAA
This is a non-coding RNA of Physcomitrium patens, 699 nucleotides long. The record is from RefSeq and is a predicted model, not a curated record. Lineage: Eukaryota; Viridiplantae; Streptophyta; Bryopsida; Funariales; Funariaceae.